GACGAACGCUGGCGGCGUGCCUAAUACAUGCAAGUAGAACGCUGAAGGAGGAGCUUGCUUCUCUGGAUGGGUUGCGAACGGGUGAGUAACGCGUAGGUAACCUGCCUGGUAGCGGGGGAUAACUAUUGGAAACGAUAGCUAAUACCGCAUAAUAGCAGUUAUUGCAUGAUAACUGUUUGAAAGGUGCAAUUGCACCACUACCAGAUGGACCUGCGUUGUAUUAGCUAGUUGGUGGGGUAACGGCUCACCAAGGCGACGAUACAUAGCCGACCUGAGAGGGUGAUCGGCCACACUGGGACUGAGACACGGCCCAGACUCCUACGGGAGGCAGCAGUAGGGAAUCUUCGGCAAUGGACGGAAGUCUGACCGAGCAACGCCGCGUGAGUGAAGAAGGUUUUCGGAUCGUAAAGCUCUGUUGUAAGAGAAGAACGAGUGUGAGAGUGGAAAGUUCACACUGUGACGGUAUCUUACCAGAAAGGGACGGCUAACUACGUG
This 495-nucleotide ribosomal RNA is filed under the name uncultured bacterium. Its description in RNAcentral is "partial 16S ribosomal RNA". It matches the Rfam family "Bacterial small subunit ribosomal RNA", at positions 28 to 507 of the family's 1533-position model. The record is from RNAcentral.